This 253-nucleotide ribosomal RNA is filed under the name uncultured bacterium. RNAcentral describes it as "partial 16S ribosomal RNA". It matches the Rfam family "Bacterial small subunit ribosomal RNA", at positions 524 to 776 of the family's 1533-position model. The record is from RNAcentral.
UACGGAGGGUGCAAGCGUUAAUCGGAAUUACUGGGCGUAAAGCGUGCGCAGGCGGUUUGUUAAGUCCGCUGUGAAAUCCCCGAGCUCAACUUGGGAAUUGCAGUGGAUACUGGCAAGCUGGAGUAUGGUAGGGGAAGGUGGAAUUCCCGGUGUAGCAGUGAAAUGCGUAGAGAUCGGGAGGAACACCAGUGGCGAAGGCGGCCUUCUGGACCAAUACUGACGCUCAUGCACGAAAGCGUGGGGAGCAAACAGG